CCAGCCCUCACUGACUCAGUAUCAUGUUCCCCACUCACUGCUGGACCACUGUGUGCUGAGAACAAGCUGACAUGCCUGGAAGGCCGUUGGUAUGUUUUUUCAGCUGUACCAACUACUUUUCUAAAGGGAGUGAGCUUUUCCUCCACACCAUGCUCUGCUAAGCUAUGCCACCUCUGCUGCUGGUGGAGGCAGGUGGCUUGGCAAUGUACAGAAAAACUGAAAAUCUCUGGUGUUUCUCCCAGAUCUCUCAGGGCAGCCUUAGGAGCGCUAGAUGAUACUACAAGACCCUUGAUUAGCAUCUUAAAGACCACAGGUAACAGGCUGAAGAAGUAGG
RNAcentral lists this long non-coding RNA (334 nucleotides) under Junco hyemalis (dark-eyed junco). RNAcentral describes it as "lncRNA (ENSJHYG00000003466.1)". Lineage: Eukaryota; Metazoa; Chordata; Aves; Passeriformes; Passerellidae. The record is from RNAcentral.